GGCACCAUGGUGUAAUGGUUAUCACAUCUGCCUAACACGCAGAAGGUCCCCCAUUUCGAUCCUGGGUGGUGUCA
This 74-nucleotide transfer RNA is filed under the name Hofstenia miamia. Its description in RNAcentral is "tRNA-Val for anticodon AAC". It matches the Rfam family "tRNA". From Rfam's summary of the family: Transfer RNA (tRNA) molecules are approximately 80 nucleotides in length. Their secondary structure includes four short double-helical elements and three loops (D, anti-codon, and T loops). The record is from RNAcentral. Lineage: Eukaryota; Metazoa; Xenacoelomorpha; Acoela; Hofsteniidae.